RNAcentral lists this ribosomal RNA (556 nucleotides) under [Candida] sp. RNAcentral's name for it is "LSU rRNA". It matches the Rfam family "Eukaryotic large subunit ribosomal RNA", at positions 62 to 648 of the family's 3401-position model. Lineage: Eukaryota; Fungi; Ascomycota; Saccharomycetes; Saccharomycetales. The record is from RNAcentral.
AAACCAACCGGGAUUGCCUCAGUAACGGCGAGUGAAGCGGCAAAAGCUCAAAUUUGAAAUCUGGCGCCCGCCCGAAUUGUAAUUUGAAGAAGCGACUUUGGACCUGGCUCUUGUCUAAGUUCCUUGGAACAGGACGUCAUAGAGGGUGAGAAUCCCGUUAGAUGAGAUGCCCAGGGCCGUGUAAAGCGUUUUCGACGAGUCGAGUUGUUUGGGAAUGCAGCUCUAAGUGGGUGGUAAAUUCCAUCUAAAGCUAAAUAUUGGCGAGAGACCGAUAGCGAACAAGUACAGUGAUGGAAAGAUGAAAAGAACUUUGAAAAGAGAGUGAAAAAGUACGUGAAAUUGUUGAAAGGGAAGGGCUUGUGAUCAGACUUUGCAUUUCUAUGGCUUCCUUUCGGGGGGGUCCUCUGGAGUUGUAGGGCCAGCAUGGGUUGGAGGGGUGAGAUAAUGGGGAAGGAAUGUGGCUCUGCCUCGGUAGAGUGUUAUAUCCUUUUCUGAUGUCACCACCUUCGACCGAGGACUGCGGUACUAGGAUGCUGGCAUAAUGAUUAUAAGCCGC